Molecule: ribosomal RNA, 495 nt
Filed under: Veillonella parvula
Lineage: Bacteria; Bacillati; Bacillota; Negativicutes; Veillonellales; Veillonellaceae
Description: bacterial SSU rRNA
Rfam family: Bacterial small subunit ribosomal RNA
Source: RNAcentral
GACGAACGCUGGCGGCGUGCUUAACACAUGCAAGUCGAACGAAGAGCGACGGAAGCUUGCUUCUAUCAAUCUUAGUGGCGAACGGGUGAGUAACGCGUAAUCAACCUGCCCUUCAGAGGGGGACAACAGUUGGAAACGACUGCUAAUACCGCAUACGAUCUAAUCUCGGCAUCGAGGAUGGAUGAAAGGUGGCCUCUACAUGUAAGCUAUCACUGAAGGAGGGGAUUGCGUCUGAUUAGCUAGUUGGAGGGGUAACGGCCCACCAAGGCGAUGAUCAGUAGCCGGUCUGAGAGGAUGAACGGCCACAUUGGGACUGAGACACGGCCCAGACUCCUACGGGAGGCAGCAGUGGGGAAUCUUCCGCAAUGGACGAAAGUCUGACGGAGCAACGCCGCGUGAGUGAUGACGGCCUUCGGGUUGUAAAGCUCUGUUAAUCGGGACGAAAGGCCUUCUUGCAAAUAGUGAGAAGGAUUGACGGUACCGGAAUAGAAAGCC